GGCCGUUUAGCUCAGUUGGUUAGAGCGUCGUGCUAAUAACGCGAAGGUCGUGGGUUCGAUCCCCCCAAUGGCCA
Molecule: non-coding RNA, 74 nt
Organism: Dreissena polymorpha
Lineage: Eukaryota; Metazoa; Mollusca; Bivalvia; Myida; Dreissenidae
Source: the annotation of a RefSeq genome assembly